RNAcentral lists this transfer RNA (79 nucleotides) under Microbacterium sp. Bi128. RNAcentral's name for it is "tRNA-Gln". The record is from RNAcentral. Lineage: Bacteria; Bacillati; Actinomycetota; Actinomycetes; Micrococcales; Microbacteriaceae.
CCGCGUCCUGGUCGAUGCGCUCUCGGCGCGGACCGUUCUGGUCGGGCGCGACUUCCGGUUCGGCGCCGGGGGCGCGGGC